Molecule: regulatory RNA element, 165 nt
Organism: Listeria grayi DSM 20601
Lineage: Bacteria; Bacillati; Bacillota; Bacilli; Caryophanales; Listeriaceae
Rfam family: glmS glucosamine-6-phosphate activated ribozyme aptamer
About the family: This entry contains a glucosamine-6-phosphate activated ribozyme that is found in the mRNA for GlmS.
Source: Rfam
AAUUUAAUAGAAGCGCCAGAACUGAUCGAACGGGGUAUCAGUUGACGAGGAGGAGAUUAAUCGAGUUUUUUCGGCGGGAGUCUCCCGGUUAUUCAUGUAGCCGUUAUGUCUGAGUUACAAAACAAGCAGGCGACUGUUUGGACAGAAAGCUUAGACGCAUGAGUU